RNAcentral lists this ribosomal RNA (416 nucleotides) under uncultured bacterium. RNAcentral's name for it is "bacterial SSU rRNA". It matches the Rfam family "Bacterial small subunit ribosomal RNA", at positions 355 to 787 of the family's 1533-position model. The record is from RNAcentral.
UGGGGAAUAUUGCACAAUGGGGGAAACCCUGAUGCAGCGACGCCGCGUGAGUGAAGAAGUAUUUCGGUAUGUAAAGCUCUAUCAGCAGGGAAGAAAACAGACGGUACCUGACUAAGAAGCCCCGGCUAACUACGUGCCAGCAGCCGCGGUAAUACGUAGGGGGCAAGCGUUAUCCGGAAUUACUGGGUGUAAAGGGUGCGUAGGUGGCAUGGUAAGUCAGAAGUGAAAGCCCGGGGCUUAACCCCGGGACUGCUUUUGAAACUGUCAUGCUGGAGUGCAGGAGAGGUAAGCGGAAUUCCUAGUGUAGCGGUGAAAUGCGUAGAUAUUAGGAGGAACACCAGUGGCGAAGGCGGCUUACUGGACUGUCACUGACACUGAUGCACGAAAGCGUGGGGAGCAAACAGGAUUAGAUACCC